Trichomonas vaginalis G3 is the source of this 73-nucleotide non-coding RNA. NCBI's taxonomy places the organism in Eukaryota, Parabasalia, Trichomonadida, Trichomonadidae. The record is from Rfam.
GGUUUCGUAGCUCAGUAGGUAGAGCGUAGUGCUGAUAACGCUAAGGUCUUGGGUUCGAGCCCCAGCGGAACCA